This 337-nucleotide long non-coding RNA is filed under the name Sorghum bicolor (sorghum). Its description in RNAcentral is "long non-coding RNA (SBIC_LNC014625)". The record is from RNAcentral. Lineage: Eukaryota; Viridiplantae; Streptophyta; Magnoliopsida; Poales; Poaceae.
AUCAUAAAGUAUAGAACUAUUAUAAUUUUUAAACCCAUAAGCUUGUAUGUUAGGUGACCAUGAACAUUUGUGAAAAAUAAAAUGAAAAAAGAACUAAGAAGACAACUCGUCUAUGUCUUACCAUAGCGUGCUGCAGCUUGGGCUUUGAUAUCACACCAUGGCCCAACAUAGACAAACAUCCAUUGGAGGAUAGGGACAAGGUCACGCGGCCAACACACAACGUUUGAAUUUGUCCCACCCCAUGAAGCUAAAGCAAGCGCACUUACAUCAAGCUUUAUAUAAAGGAAGGCUACACCGAGAAGACUGUCCACUUCUAAUCCAUCUGCUCGCUCCUCGC